GUCUCAGCUCAAAUGUCAUCUUUUAAGACCUGCCUUCCGAGACAGCAUCAGUCAUCUUAUCAUCCUUCCAUUGCUUUCUUUUUCUCUAAAGCACAUACUGGCACCCAUUUUUUAAAAAACUCAUUUGUCUUUCUGCACCAGGAACAAUCCAAACACGACAACAAAUGCCUUACAAGCAGAAAUCCCCAUGGAACUAAUGGGAGCAGAGGCCUCCCACACACCCCAAGCGGGAAUAGACACAUUUCACUUCCAAACUCUGACUAACAGGAUCUCCUGUGGCUCUUUCUGCCACCUGAAAAUGUUCACUUUUCAUCACAAAUCCAUUGUAUCAAAGAAUCUUUGCUAAAGGCUUCUGACUCAACCAGGCUGGGUGAAUCCUGAUUCAUCUGCGUAGUUGCCGAUACAGAAAGGAACUCGAUGUGGCACAGAAAGAGGAUGAUUUGCUAAGAGUUUGCAAAUCAAAAGUAAGAUGUAUGGAAUUCCGCUUCUUUCAGGAAGACUUUUUGGAUUGGAUCAGAUGAAAUCCAAUGGCUUCCUCAACCCUAUGCUGACAACAAUUAAUGAUUGGGCACCUACCCUGGGUCAGAGGGCUUUUGGAGGUACAGAGUUCCUGGCCUUGACGAAGGUAAAGAAAGAGACAUGUCCUAUGCUGACCUUUUGGAUAAUAGAGCAUGGCAAAUUGGAGUCUUCAAUUAAGCACACGGAAUACAUGUGCUGAAUUGCUUUCUUUGCAAGGUUCAGAGUCAGAAUUCCUGCCCUGGGUUCUGAGUUGCUGAGUGGAGACGAUGAUGGAGAGCAGUGGAGACACGUGAUUUUCAGGGUGCUCUUUGCAUGCAUGAAAUGGAGCAAGACUUAUGAAGGGAAAAUGAAAGAGGAGGAUAGGAAGAUACGUCACCUCCUGGGUUUCCUCCAAUCAUCCAGUCCUCAUCUCUCUAUAUGUCUUUGAACACUCUGAGCGCCAUCAUGCCAAUUCCAUGGAUGAAACAAAUACCCAUGACUCAGCAUUUUUCUAAUGAAAACACGUGCGGUCUGACCCGAAGGAGAAACCACAAACAGAAUUGAGAAAAGCAGGCAGGCAAAUUUUGCUUUUCUUUUUCGUUAACCAACAGAAAAUGUAAGGACUGUUUCAUUAGGGAAUAAAAAAAAAAUGACUUACAGAAUUAACCAGAAGCAGCUCAUGAUAAAAUACAGUAUCACGCUAGAAAUACAUGUUUUACUUUUCAUGAAAGCUAACCACAUUGCCAUGAUGGGAACUCUCACACAUUGCUGGUGGGUAUGCAAAAUGAGACAGCCAGUCUGGAAAACAGUCUGCCAGUUUCCCGUGAUGUUACACUUACCACACACCCUAAUAAUCCCAAGUCUAGGUAUUUACCCUAGAGAAAUGAGGACUUAAUGUUCAACCCAAAAUCUGCACGUGAAAAUUUGUAGCGGCUUUAUUCCUUGUCACUAAAAACUGAGAACAACCAGAUGUCCUGCAAGUGACUGAAUAAACAAAGUAUAGUAAUUCAUAUACUACAAAGUAUAAUUCAUGGAGUACUAUGAAGCAAAAGCAGGAAUGACUAGAGUUAAUAACAAAGUAUUGUAUUGUUGAAAAUUGCUGAGCGAGUAGAUUUUAAAUGUUCUCACCACAAAGAACUGAAAAGUAUGUGAGGUAAUGAAUAUGUUAAGUAGCUUGAUUUAGCCAUUCCACAAUGUACAUAUAUCAAAACAUCGUGGUGUAUACCAUAAAUAUAUACAAAUGUUAUUUGUCUAUUAAAGAAGUUAAUUAAAGAAAAGGAUGGACUAUUGAUACACACAACCACUUGGAUACAUUGCAAAGGUACCAUGCUGAAUGAAAGAAAUUAGUUUCAAAAGCUAUGAUUUCAUUUAGAUGACAUCCUCAAGAAGACAAAACUGUAGUGACAAGGACAGAUUAGUGACUAGGAGAGACUGAGACAGGGCUGGGGUGUGUAAGUAACUACAAAAGGAGAACAUGGGAAAUUUUCGAGGCAAAAGGGUUGUCUUGGGUUCCUGCAGUUGUGACAGUUCCAGAAACCUGUAUUUGUGUUAAAAUCUACAGAACUGUACACAGUGAAGCCAAUUUUACUGUAUGUUAACUUUAAAAAUAUAAUACCACAAUAAAAUUAAACAUCACGCUGAAUGCUAAGAAUAGGAUAGACUUGCUUCAAUGGAUGGGGGAAAGACUUGCUUAACGGUAGGAGCCAUUUCAGGCAGAGACACUGAGGCUACUCUGUAACAAGGGAGAAAGGCAGCCUGAAAACUUGGUAAAUCUGUUUCCAAAAUAUUUGUCAUGUCCUUAAAAAUAAAAGCACACUGGAAAACACAAAAACGGAAUCAACCUCUCAGUAAAAGUCCUAUUGGCAUAUCGUUAAUC
Molecule: long non-coding RNA, 2374 nt
Filed under: Homo sapiens (human)
Lineage: Eukaryota; Metazoa; Chordata; Mammalia; Primates; Hominidae
Description: HSALNT0097377
Source: RNAcentral